CAGCGGCCCUAGUGGUGAUCGUUAUUAUUGGGCCUAAAGCGUCCGUAGCCGGUUCGGCAAAUCUCUGGGUAAAUCGUUGGGCUUAACUCAACGAAUUCUGGGGAGACUGCCGAACUUGGGACCGGGAGAGGUCGGAGGUACUCCAGGGGUAGGGGUGAAAUCCUGUAAUCCUUGGGGGACCACCGGUGGCGAAAGCGUCCGACCAGAACGGGUCCGACGGUAAGGGACGAAGCCCUGGGGCGCGAACCGGAUUAGAUACCCGAGUAGUCC
RNAcentral lists this ribosomal RNA (270 nucleotides) under uncultured archaeon. Its description in RNAcentral is "partial 16S ribosomal RNA". It matches the Rfam family "Archaeal small subunit ribosomal RNA", at positions 477 to 747 of the family's 1478-position model. The record is from RNAcentral.